Molecule: ribosomal RNA, 1405 nt
Filed under: Daptonema hirsutum
Lineage: Eukaryota; Metazoa; Nematoda; Chromadorea; Monhysterida; Xyalidae
Also listed under: 1 other name
Description: SSU rRNA
Rfam family: Eukaryotic small subunit ribosomal RNA
Source: RNAcentral
UGUCUCAAAGAUUAAGCCAUGCAUGUCUACGCAUAAACGAAUCUAAAGUGAAGCCGCGAAUAGCUCAUUACAACAGCCGUUGUUUCUUGGAUCUCCGCUUUUACUUGGAUAACUGUGGCAAUUCUAGAGCUAAUACAUGCAAUCGAGCUCCGACUUAACAGGACGAGCGCAUUUAUUAGACCAAAACCAAUCGGCGCAAGCCGUUUUCUGGUGAAUCUGAAUAACUACGCAGAUCGCUUCGGUUUCACACCGGCGACAUAUCCUUCAAGUGUCUGCUUUAUCAACUUUCGUUGGUAGUUUAUACGCCUACCAAGGUUUUAACGGAUAACGGAGAAUCAGGGUUCGACUCCGGAGAGGGAGCCUGAGAAACGGCUACCACUUCCAAGGAAGGCAGCAGGCGCGCAAAUUACCCACUCUCGGCACGAGGAGGUAGUGACGAAAAAUAACGAGAUAACCCGCUCUAGCGAGUUAUCAUCGGAAUGAGUACAAUCUAAAUCCUUUAACGAGGACCUAGCGGAGGGCAAGUCUGGUGCCAGCAGCCGCGGUAAUUCCAGCUCCGCCAGUGUAUAUCUAUGCUGCUGCGGUUAAAAAGCUCGUAGUUGGAUCUUCGUGAUCGUCCCAGUCCGCCUUUGUGGCGUGAACUGACGACGUUCACUGAAUCGCUGCUUUACCCUUGUUGCUCUUAACCGGGUGACCUGGGUGGGUAGCAUGUUUACUUUGAAAAAAUUAGAGUGCUUAAAACAAGCGAUUUGCUUGAAUAUUCGUGCAUGGAAUAAUAGAAUAGGCUUUUGGCUCUAUUUUGUUGGUUUUCGGAGCACAAGAGAAUGAUUAAGAGGGACAGACGGGGGCAUUCGUACUCCGACGUUAGAGGUGAAAUUCUUGGAUCGUCGGAUGACGCACUACUGCGAAAGCAUUUGCCAAGAAUGUUUUCAUUAAUCAAGAACGAAAGUUAGAGGUUCGAAGGCGAUCAGAUACCGCCCUAGUUCUAACCGUAAACGAUGCCAACUAGCGAUCUGCUGGUGUUUUCUUAGACCCAGCAGGGAGCUUACCGGAAACGAAAGUCUUCAGGUUCCGGGGGAAGUAUGGUUGCAAAGCUGAAACUUAAAGGAAUUGACGGAAGGGCACCACCAGGAGUGGAGCCUGCGGCUUAAUUUGACUCAACACGGGAAAACUCACCCGGCCCGGACACCGUAAGGAUUGACAGAUUGAGAGCUCUUUCUUGAUUCGGUGGGUGGUGGUGCAUGGCCGUUCUUAGUUGGUGGAUUGAUUUGUCUGGUUUAUUCCGAUAACGAACGAGACUCCAACCUACUAACUAGUGGGCGAAUCUUCACGUUCGCAACACUUCUUAGAGGGACAAGCAGUGUUUAGCUGCAUGAGAAGGAGCAAUAACAGGUCUGUGAUGCCC